This 484-nucleotide ribosomal RNA is filed under the name Sarcocystis aucheniae. RNAcentral's name for it is "SSU rRNA". It matches the Rfam family "Eukaryotic small subunit ribosomal RNA", at positions 453 to 923 of the family's 1831-position model. Lineage: Eukaryota; Apicomplexa; Conoidasida; Eucoccidiorida; Sarcocystidae. The record is from RNAcentral.
GACACAGGGAGGUAGUGACAAGAAAUAACAACACUGGAAAUUUUAUUUCUAGUGAUUGGAAUGAUGGGAAUCCAAACCCCUUUCAGAGUAACAAUUGGAGGGCAAGUCUGGUGCCAGCAGCCGCGGUAAUUCCAGCUCCAAUAGCGUAUAUUAAAGUUGUUGCAGUUAAAAAGCUCGUAGUUGGAUUUCUGCUGGAAGAACAAUCAAUCCGCCCUUUUUGAAAGGGUGUGAAUUUGUUGUUUUCUGGCAUAUUCUUUUCUUUUCAUACUCUUCUGCACCGGCGACGGUGUAGAAGGAGUGGAGAAGAAAACUGUUACUUUGAGAAAAUUAGAGUGUUUCAAGCAGGCUUAUUGCCUUGAAUACUGCAGCAUGGAAUAACAUUAUAGGAUUUUGGUUCUAUUUUGUUGGUUUUUAGGACUGAAAUAAUGAUUAAUAGGGACAGUUGGGGGCAUUCGUAUUUAACUGUCAGAGGUGAAAUUCUUAG